Molecule: long non-coding RNA, 1082 nt
Organism: Phasianus colchicus (ring-necked pheasant)
Lineage: Eukaryota; Metazoa; Chordata; Aves; Galliformes; Phasianidae
Source: RefSeq, a predicted model, not a curated record
GUCAGUCUCUCUUUUCCCUCCUGGCACUUUCAGGAACAGAUUUGCAUUUCCUAAUUGUUUGGCUCGCCUGUGGCAGAGAAUCUUAUUUCUUCGUGGCUCUGACAGCAUAGGCUUGAUCUGCAGUCCCUGAGCUUGAUUCCACUGAUAGCAUCACCUGCUGUGAAGGAUUGUAAAAUGAAAGCUGUAACUCCAGACAGAUCUCGCUCUCCUGCCUGCCAAAACUGCUUUUUGAUGGCUGCUACUGUAACACGCUGCCGCAGAUCAGCCUAGCACUGGAUGCCCCUCUGACACUGCUGCCAUACUUCCAUGGCUCAUACAUCAUCUCCUGCUUGAAGGACUCCAUGUGGACACUACUUCUCUGCCCUGCUCAGAACCCAGCUGCCACCUAUCUUCCUUCUACACAACACAUAGUGUGUAAUACAACCCCAAGUUUGAAACAACCUUGUCUUUUGUAUGGAAGAAUUUACCAAGGAUGAAAAACUCCAUCUGGAUACAGAGCAAAGAAUAAGGAAUUGUGGUUCCACUGAAUUCCAUGGGAUGUGAGAGCAGUGAGGCUGUAACACAACCUUGCUUUUUCUCCUAAAAGGUGAUCCUGGAAACACUGUGAUGCGCCAGACUAAAGGAACUGAGAUAUGGCUCCUGAAAGCCAUUCUCAGUGACGGUGGCAUGAGGUGCUACUGGCCUUCCUGUAUGCCCUGGUGUCCCACUGCAGCAGGGAUCUUGGCCACAACUGAGAGGGCAGGAGUAGAGGUGUUCCUCACCUUGUCAGGGCAGAAGCUGAGCUGCAACCUCCACUCACAGAAUGAGAAGAGACCUUUACACAGGCAGCAGUGGUAUUUCAGGAAGGUGAUUUCAACCCCAAGCACGAAAAGCGAAUCCCCAAACUCAUCUAAGGAUGGGCCACUUGGGAUUUACAUCUCCUGCAGUGAGGAAAUGCUUCCCUCAACUUCCCUCAACAAGAACAACUUGCACUUGGAAGUUGUGCUGGGACUGAUUGAAGAGAUAGACUCACAACAGAACUGUGGUUACUUUAUCAUUUCAUGCACAAGUGAUUUCAGCUCCCUGCACCUCUCAGAGUGCUA